Molecule: microRNA, 22 nt
Filed under: Gallus gallus (chicken)
Lineage: Eukaryota; Metazoa; Chordata; Aves; Galliformes; Phasianidae
Description: microRNA Ros-gga
Source: RNAcentral
CCACCCUAACAAAACUCCCCCC